UGGUUGAGCCUUAUGGCUCCAAUACUGGGAGACGUGGUCGUAAGACUCCUCGAGAGUCAGACUCUCUUGAGGAGCGAGAGAGGAAACGGCUGCGGGACAUAUUUGCAGAAUCAACUGACGAAGACUCCUUUGAGGGUUUUACCGAGAGAAUGGAGGAAGAGGUGGUUAGCUCAGAGGAGGAUGACAUGGAAUGGACUCGUGUGAGAGAGGAUUUGGGUGUUCCUGGUAAUGAUAGCAUGGGAAGCGACUGGCGGGUUGCAGGAUCGGACCCGUGGACGAGCUGGAGGGAUGGAACGGGAUCCACAGCUGGGGAUGCUGUGGGGCGUAGUCAAAGAUGUUUUAGCUCUGAUGAGGAUGAUGAUGAUGAGGCACCUGGAAUUAGGGUAACAGCUGAUAGCGAUGAGGAGUUGUAACUGGCAUAAAAUGUGGUCUUGAAUCCAGGGCUAAUUGCGUUGGGCAAGGUAAUCUGGACAAACGCUUGGGCUCUUGUUGGGAAUUUCCUGAAGACGGGUGUGUUUCGUUUGCUGAAUACCUUGGACCUCCGUCGUCUUCUUGACGGACAUUAUUUACCUACUCGGAAUUGACGCUGGACUGGCUGACUGACUGACUGACUGACUGACUACGACCUUGGACUACCCUUUCUUUGGCUAUCGGUGGAAUUCGUGGAACCUAAGACGCCUGCACCUGGCUAUCGACCUCGGACCGGACUGGGACCCCGCUGACCGCUGCAACCCUGAUUGAUGUAUUUGGACCCGGAGUUCGCCCGCUACACGGAGGAGUAACAACUUAGUUACUCAACCACAGCUGUUGAGUAGCAGAGAGGAAUCUGCUGCCAGUAUUUAUGUUUUGUUGAAUCUUUGUUUACCAGCUUUUGUUUGUUUAAAGUGCCAGGCUGAAGUAAGCAUUUUUGGUUUAACCCGGAUUAAACUCCUGUUUAAUCCGGUUUAUCUUUUGAACCGUUUUGAGUGACUUUUCAUAUUGAAGGCGAGUGUUUGCCUAGCUCUUUGUUUUUUAUGAGCAUUUUUUGGUUCUGUAUCUUUAAUAAACUGUGUUGAAUCUUA
Molecule: long non-coding RNA, 1061 nt
Organism: Anolis carolinensis (green anole)
Lineage: Eukaryota; Metazoa; Chordata; Lepidosauria; Squamata; Anolidae
Exons: 2
Source: RefSeq, a predicted model, not a curated record